CCGCGGUGAUACGGAGGGCGCAAGCGUUGUCCGGAAUUACUGGGCGUAAAGGGGGCGCAGGCGGCUUGCUAAGUCCUGUGUGAAAGCCCGCGGCUCAACCGCGGAAAUGCACUAGAUACUGGCGAGCUUGAGACGGGUAGAGGCGAGUGGAAUUCCCGGUGUAGCGGUGGAAUGCGUAGAUAUCGGGAAGAACACCAGUGGCGAAGGCGACUCGCUGGGCCCGUUCUGACGCUCAGGCCCGAAAGCGUGGGGAGCAAACAGGAUUAGAUACCCUGGUAGUCCACGCCGUAAACGAUGGGCACUAGGUGCUGGGGAGUGUGACCUCUUCGGUGCCGUAGCUAACGCGUUAAGUGCCCCGCCUGGGGAGUACGGCCGCAAGGCUGAAACUCAAAGGAAUUGACGGGGGCCCGCACAAGCGGUGGAGCAUGUGGUUUAGUUCGAUGCAACGCGAAGAACCUUACCUGGGCUUGACAUGCUAGGGAACUCGGGUGGAAACAUCCGGGGCCCUUCGGGGCUCUAGUACAGGUGCUGCAUGGCUGUCGUCAGCUCGUGUCGUGAGAUGUUGGGUUAAGUCCCGCAACGAGCGCAACCCUUGCCCGUAGUUGCCAGCGGGUAACGCCGGGGACUCUACGGGGACUGCCGGUGAUAAACCGGAGGAAGGUGAGGACGACGUCAAGUCAUCAUGGCCCUUACGUCCAGGGCGACACACGUGCUACAAUGGUCGAUACAGUGGGCUGCAAUCCCGCGAGGGUGAGCCAAUCCCAAAAAGCCGGCCUAAGUUCGGAUCGGAGUCUGCAACUCGACUCCGUGAAGCCGGAAUCGCUAGUAAUCGUGGAUCAGCCAUGCCACGGUGAAUACGUUCCCGGGCUUUGUACACACCGCCCGUCACGCCAUGGAAGCUGGGGGGACCCGAAGUCAGUGGCCUAACCUUCGGGAGGGAGCUGCCUAAGGUCAAUCCGGUGACUGGGGUGAAGUCGUAACAAGG
Molecule: ribosomal RNA, 985 nt
Filed under: uncultured bacterium
Lineage: Bacteria
Description: bacterial SSU rRNA
Rfam family: Bacterial small subunit ribosomal RNA
Source: RNAcentral